GCGCCCGUAGCUCAGUUGACAGAACGGUGGGACGGUACCCCACGGUCCCGGGUUCAAGUCCCGGCGGUCGCU
Molecule: non-coding RNA, 72 nt
Organism: Phthorimaea operculella (potato tuberworm)
Lineage: Eukaryota; Metazoa; Arthropoda; Insecta; Lepidoptera; Gelechiidae
Source: the annotation of a GenBank genome assembly